AACGCGAAGAACCUUACCUGGGCUUGACAUGCACGUGGUACGACCGGGAAACCGGGAGGACCCGCAAGGGAGCGUGCACAGAUGCUGCAUGGCUGUCGUCAGCUCGUGCCGUGAGGUGUUGGGUUAAGUCCCGCAACGAGCGCAACCCUCGCUGCCAGUUACCAUGUCUGGCGGGACCGCCGGGUCCAACCCGGAGGAAGGUGGGGAUGACGUCAAGUCAGCACGGCUCUUACGUCCAGGGCUACACACACGCUACAAUGGCCGGUACAACGCGCGGCGAUGGGGCGACCCGGAGCGAAUCGCAGCAAAGCCGGUCUCAGUUGGGAUUGCAGGCUGCAACUCGCCUGCAUGAACGCGGAGUUGCUAGUAACCGCAGGUCAGCACACUGCGGUGAAUACGUUCCCGGGCCUUGUACACACC
This 420-nucleotide ribosomal RNA is filed under the name uncultured bacterium. RNAcentral describes it as "bacterial SSU rRNA". It matches the Rfam family "Bacterial small subunit ribosomal RNA", at positions 958 to 1391 of the family's 1533-position model. The record is from RNAcentral.